UGGCCUUUCUAGGGAGUUUUUCCUAGCCACCGUGCUUCUACACCUGCAUUGCUUGCUGUUUGGGGUUUUAGGCUGGGUUUCUGUACAGCACUUUGAGAUAUCAGCUGAUGUACGAAGGGCUAUAUAAAUAAGUUUGAUUUGAUACAUACACGCACGCACAGACACACACACACAAACAGCUUUGUUUUCGUGAAUUUGCAGGACUUUUUGGGGAGUAAAUAUGCACAUGCGGACAAGAGCACACACACACACACAUGUACACGCACACGUAUGAGGGGCCAAGAAGCCAUUGCUCUCUGCACUCUCUAACUCUACUGCCUGUUUCCCUCUUCGUUUUAGUUUCAAACGCUCUGCAAAAACCAAUGUGGAGGGAUUCAUUUCCGCAUGGCAAUAAAAUAGCCCAAAUAAAGGCAGGGAAAACUGAGACGAAACCGGCCUAUUUCCUGAGGUGAAAUCCUCCAAUCCUCCAGUUGGCCUGUUGAUUCUGUCAGAGCUAAAAUACUUUAAAUGUUUUUUUUAAAGAAUACUUUUAGCAGUGAACACAAUGGAACUAGAUAACCAUAUUCCCCUUGGCGCUGAGAGGCGCUAAACUAAAAUCAGUCGACUAUGAACGCAGCCCAGCUCCCAUUACACACGGGCACGCGUGCACGUAUGUACACACACACACACACACACACACAGGCUCCCCUUACAUAGAACACCAAGCAAUAAAUCCGUCUGCGCAAUGCUGGCAACACACUAUGAUUUUCAUAUGUAUUGGUUACUAAGGGAAACGGAGGACCGCGCAAAACCACAACAAAUGACAAAGGGUGAAGCAGGGACAUCGUUCUCUGCAAAAGCAAAUCGUUUAAUACUUCUGGCAUGUCGUUGUUGGGAGUAUACGUUAAACCAGUUAAAACCAGUUAUGGGGUUAUGUGUCACUCUCUGCCAAUAGCCAUCUUUUAUUAAGAUGACCCUUGACCUUUCAAGGUUUUUGAUAUGCGAUGGGAAAGGGGAGUAAGUAGAGGUAACUGGAAAUGAAAACCUUUUCGGUCAUCAUGUGUACAUUAAGCCCACGAUGUAAAACUGAAACAUGAGCACAUAAUCACACACAGCUCUGGGUGGCAACGGGACCAUUUGAAUGAACAAUCUGGAAAGGGGAACACGGAGAACAAUCUGAUUGGUUGAAAGUAAGGAGGGUUCCAAUCUGAUUGGUCGUUAGGGUUGUUACUGUAAUGUACUGUGUAUCUUCCAUAGAACAUCUGGUUCAAUGGAAGAAGAAGAAGAAGAAGCUGUGAGGAGAGAGAAGGAAAUGGGAGACGAGAGGAAAGGAGAAUAGAAGAGAGAGGAGAGGAGGGAAGAGAGGAGAAAGUAGAGAGGAGAGGAGAAAAGAAGAAGAGAGGAGAGGGGGGAGAGAGAAGAUGAGAGAAUGAAACUUAAUGAGAGGAGAAGAUUCCACACCACUAUACUGAGAGCCGGGGCCUGGGCCAGUCAUUAUGAUGACACACGGAGCCGGAUCUCUCCGGUUCUACUGCUCCGUUUUCUGAAGCCCCAGAGCUCUAUCACUGAGGGCUGGCUCUCAUAUUCACAGCACACAAACAUCCACAGCGCCGCCAAGUCUGACGAUCGCCACUGUCUCCACGACAACACCAGAAAGACGGCUGGGGCAGAAGAGUGGAGGCUCAUAGGAGAAAAUAAUAUCACAGCGUGGUGUGUUUGGUGAGCUGCUGACCAGUGGACCUCACUCAGACACACUCAAACAUACUUUCUCACCAGACCUGGGUUCAAAACGGAUUUGAAUGCAGCACUGUUUGAUUGAACUUGUACGGUGCAAUGGAGACACACACACGGGUCACACAAUAUGCGCAUGGCCACUAAAGAGAAUGGCGCCAAAGAGAGAGAAUCUCAGUAACUUGGCACUCCUCACAACUCUAGGGUUACAGCUAGGCCAGAGGAAGGGACAGACAGACAGAAAGCUCUUGGGUUAUAGCUAGGCCAGAGGAAUGGACAGACAGACAGAAAGCUCUUGGGUUAUAGCUAGGCCAGAGGAAUGGACAGACAGACAGCUCUAGGGUUAUAGCUAGGCCAAAGGAAGGGGCAGACAGACAGCUUUACAGAUACAGCUAGGCCAGAGGAAGGGGCAGACAGACAGCUCUAGGGUUAUAGCUAGGCCAGAGGAAGGGGCAAACAGACAGCUCUAGGGUUAUAGCUAGGCCAGAGGAAGGGGCAGACAGACAGCUUUACAGAUACAGCUAGGCCAAAGGAAGGAGCAGACAGACAGCUUUACAGAUACAGCUAGGCCAGAGGAAGGGGCAGACAGACAGCUUUACAGAUACAGCUAGGCCAGAGGAAGGGGCAGACAGACAGCUCUAGGGUUAUAGCUAGGCCAGAGGAAGGGGCAGACAGACAGCUUUACAGAUACAGCUAGGCCAGAGGAAGGGGCAGACAGACA
Long non-coding RNA from Oncorhynchus tshawytscha (Chinook salmon), 2431 nucleotides. The record is from Ensembl. Lineage: Eukaryota; Metazoa; Chordata; Actinopteri; Salmoniformes; Salmonidae.